AUGGUAGCUAGUGAAAUUUUCCUUCUGUAUUUUCUGAACUGGAUUUGGACUUUUUCUUUUCCUGAUUUUCUUCAAAAGAGUGGCACGAUUUCAAGCCUUUUUGACUUAAUGAUUUUUCUAAUUUUCUUUAUUCUGAAUCAAGGCUACACUUUGUAUUCGUUCUUCUUUGUCGUUUUUUUAUGCAGGUUAGUACAUGGUCGCAACAAAAAUUCAUGGAGCAAGCACUUUGAAAUGGAAAACUGA
Molecule: non-coding RNA, 243 nt
Organism: Vicia faba (fava bean)
Lineage: Eukaryota; Viridiplantae; Streptophyta; Magnoliopsida; Fabales; Fabaceae
Source: the annotation of a GenBank genome assembly